Molecule: ribosomal RNA, 429 nt
Filed under: Chloroflexota bacterium
Lineage: Bacteria; Bacillati; Chloroflexota
Description: Chloroflexi bacterium partial 16S ribosomal RNA
Rfam family: Bacterial small subunit ribosomal RNA
Source: RNAcentral
UGGGGAAUAUUGCACAAUGGGCGCAAGCCUGAUGCAGCCAUGCCGCGUGUAUGAAGAAGGCCUUCGGGUUGUAAAGUACUUUCAGUCGGGAGGAAGGUGUCAAGGUUAAUAACCUUGGCAAUUGACGAUACCGACAGAAGAAGCACCGGCUAACUCCGUGCCAGCAGCCGCGGUAAUACGGAGGGUGCAAGCGUUAAUCGGAAUUACUGGGCGUAAAGCGCACGCAGGCGGUUGAUUGAGUCAGAUGUGAAAUCCCCGGGCUUAACCCGGGAAUUGCAUCUGAUACUGGUCAGCUAGAGUCUUGUAGAGGGGGGUAGAAUUCCAUGUGUAGCGGUGAAAUGCGUAGAGAUGUGGAGGAAUACCGGUGGCGAAGGCGGCCCCCUGGACAAAGACUGACGCUCAGGUGCGAAAGCGUGGGGAGCAAACAGG